AAGGGCAGGCUUAAGGGAAGGUUUGACAUCUAAGGAGGGGAGGAGCAGGGAAGGUUUUGGGGGAAAAAGGGUAGGGAAAAGAGAGAUUGACAAUUUGGCAGAGAGUGGCGAGGCAACAAACAAGAACUGAUAGUUAACCAAGCUGAAUAACAAUGAGGGAGUGAGUCUAAAUUUAGCAACAUAAAAUACAGACUGGGGAAUCUGUGCCACUCCAAAGAAGUUGAAAGGAAAUUGUUUAAAGUGCCCAUCAGCUCUGAGGAUCAAGCCCACAAAAAUGCUAUUGUUUGGAGACUGACUUGUGGAUUUAGUGUAAAAGUGGAGCUAGGCUCCUCAGUAUCUGUCUCCGGAGCUGAGCGACGUCAGACAUAACCACCAGAACAACAACAAAAAUACCCAGGAAGACUUCAGCUUGAAAUCUGCCCUGAGAGUCAGAAUUCUUGAGCUCUGUUGGACCAACACUGAAAUUAAUUCCAUAAGUGAGGUUACUUCACUGAAAAUCCCUCUCCUUGCUUCUACCAAACAGUGCUAAAAGUGGACACCCAUCUCACAGGAUCUGGGGCUACAAGCAACAUUUUUCAAGGGGACCAGGCAUAAGCUAUCAAAAACUGAAAUGGUUCAUGCCUUAAACAUCGCUUUGGAGGAGUUUUGCCCAUUAUAGCAAAAACUGUAUAAAGAAGCUACAACCAUGGAAGCCCACCCCUCCUUGAAGAUGCCUGACUAGAAGAUUGGACUAUGAGGGAAGCCACCUAGAUAAUGUAAAUUGGACUCAAUUGUUCAAUCAUCUCAGGUCUAGCGAGAAACAAACAAGGCAGAGGGAAAGGAAUGCAUCCACAAGAAAGCUAAAUGCUGAAGAGAAUCAUCCCUGGCUGGCUUUGAGGUGAGAGAGACCACAGGUCACAAGAGGUCUGGUUUGCACAGAAUCCCCCCAGCCAAGGGGGGAGGAGGAGGUUUGGGGUGUGUGGUGUGACCUCUGGUCAAAGGCACUGAACACCCAUUGCUCCUUACACAAACCAGCCCAGCUGUGAAACCCCUACUGUGGAAAGGCUUCAUCAAUGGGACAUUCAUGUGGGUGGCAGCUGAGAGGAUGUGUUAAUACAUCAAAGACCCCCCAAGUACUCCUCAGACUGAUUCCUAAGGCCUUGCACCACAGCACUGCUCAUAAGGCAAAGUGAUGUAACCGACAGAGUCUGCUGCAGGAUAGCGUCAAACUGCAGUACCGCCCCCACCCGCCCCCUCCAGGGGAGGUGCCUGCACAUUCCCAUCUGGCCUGAGCGUAUAUUAAUCCAUUCGAUUCUGUGUCUUUUUGGGGACCCUCAUCAACAAAACUAGAUGUAGAGGAUCAUUGGGCAGCCAGUGGGAUCUAUGGAGUGGUAAUAUUUUCUUUAUGUUCUCUUUCUGUCACUCUCUUUCUGUCCUCCCACCUCUUUUCUUUCCCUUUCUUCCCCCCACCCCCCCAUAUUUAUUAUUAAAUGAAGCCCAUUCUGUUGACAUUGGCAUAUGGUCUUGUUUGCACCUUAAUUUGGGAAGAGGCAUUUCAAAGAACUUUAAAAACCAGACAGAAACACAAGUUGAUUAUCAAAUUUCAUGAGAGUUAUCUGUGAUGGCUUUCUGAGAACACUGAAUUCUUGGAUUAGGAAAAGUCACCAAACAUAUCUCAUUAUAUGUUUGAAAACAGGAUUGAAAACACAUAAAGAUGCUGAUGAUAGAGUAAUUUUUUAGGUGUAUGAGCAAGAGUUUAAUGAAAAUGCCAAAUGGGAUAAGGUAAAGUUUACUUCAAUUUUUUUAGUAACGUAGUAUGGUAUUUAUUAAUAAAAUGUGGCUUUAUCAGAAAAUAGCUCUGUUAUCCUCCGUUGUAUAUGGAGGUUGAAUGAUGACUUCAAAAUAUAUAAAAAAAAUAUUUAGGACCAAGAAUGGAAUGAUGAUUCCUUUCCAAUCAUCCUGAAAUGCCAAGGUUCCUGUUUG
This is a long non-coding RNA of Passer domesticus (house sparrow), 1962 nucleotides long. RefSeq lists it as uncharacterized. The transcript is spliced from 5 exons. The record is from RefSeq and is a predicted model, not a curated record. Lineage: Eukaryota; Metazoa; Chordata; Aves; Passeriformes; Passeridae.